This 496-nucleotide ribosomal RNA is filed under the name uncultured bacterium. Its description in RNAcentral is "partial 16S ribosomal RNA". It matches the Rfam family "Bacterial small subunit ribosomal RNA", at positions 28 to 506 of the family's 1533-position model. The record is from RNAcentral.
GAUGAACGCUGGCGGCGUGCCUAAUACAUGCAAGUCGAGCGAACAGACGAGGAGCUUGCUCCUUUGACGUUAGCGGCGGACGGGUGAGUAACACGUAGGUAACCUACCUAUAAGACUGGUAUAACUUCGGGAAACCGGAGCUAAUACCGGAUAAUAUUUCGAACCGCAGGGUUCGAUAGUGAAAGAUGGCUUUGCUAUCACUUAUAGAUGGACCUGCGCCGUAUUAGCUAGUUGGUAAGGUAACGGCUUACCAAGGCAACGAUACGUAGCCGACCUGAGAGGGUGAUCGGCCACACAGGAGCUGAGACGCGGCCCAGACUCCUACGGGAGGCAGCAGUAGGGAAUCUUCCGCAAUGGGCGAAAGCCUGACGGAGCAACGCAGCGUGAGUGAUGAAGGUCUUCGGAUCGUAAAACUCUGUUAUUAGGGAAGAACAAACGUGUAAGUAACUGUGCACGUCUUGACGGUACCUAAUCAGAAAGCCACGGCUAACUACGU